GGUCACUCACUCAUCACGAAAUCUCCGAAACUAUAACACCUACAAACUUGAAAUUUGGCAGGUAGGCUCUUUAUAGGACAUAAACAUCCGGUAAGAACGGAUUUUACGAAACUCAACCCCAAGGGGGGUAAAACGGGGGUUGGAAUUUUGUAUGAAAGUUCUAUAUUUUUGAAGUAAGAGACUUGAAAUUUAAAAUGUAUGCUCUAUAGAUGGUGAGAAGGUGUCCAAAUAAUGUAUCUUUAGAAAUCAACUUCCUUUUGGGGUUAAAACGGGGGAUGGUACGCUGACUCACUCAUCG
This 298-nucleotide unclassified non-coding RNA is filed under the name Melitaea cinxia (Glanville fritillary). RNAcentral's name for it is "misc RNA ENSMCXG00005019652.1". The record is from RNAcentral. Lineage: Eukaryota; Metazoa; Arthropoda; Insecta; Lepidoptera; Nymphalidae.